Molecule: ribosomal RNA, 1069 nt
Filed under: Tuberaphis leeuweni
Lineage: Eukaryota; Metazoa; Arthropoda; Insecta; Hemiptera; Hormaphididae
Description: partial large subunit rRNA
Source: RNAcentral
GUUUUAAUUAAUUUUAAUUUUAAUUUUGUAGUUAAUUUAUUUAUAAAAAUAUUUUAAAAAUUAUUUGUUUUAGUAUUAAGUAAAAAUAAAUUUUUAGAUUUAUAGUUAAUUAGUAUUGUAAAAGAAUUUUAUUAAAUUUUUUUAAGAUUAAUUUAAGUACCUUUUGUAUCAGGGUUAAUUAAAAUUUUUAAAUUAUUUUAAUUUCUCAAAAUUUAUAGAGUUAAUUUUAUUAUUAAGUUAUUGUUUUAUAAAUAUUUAUAAAAUAAUUUUAGAUUUUAAAUUUAAUUUCGUUAUAAUAUAUUUAGUUAUUUAAGAUUUAAAUUGAAUUUAUAAUUUUAAUAGUUAUAUUUAUUUAUUUUAUAUUUAUAUUUUAAAUUUAAAUUAUUUUAAGGAUAAGCUUAAAAUUUUUAUAUAAUAAUAUAUAAUAAUUAAUAUUUUAUAGAAAUAAAAAUUUUUAUUUUGAGUUUGUAAAAAUUUAUUAUUAAUUUUGAAUUUAAUUUAUUAUAUUUUAUUUAUUUUUUAUAUUAAAUUUUAUAAUAUAAUAUUUUUUUUAUAGUAAUAAUGAUUAAAUUAGUAUAAUAUGAAUUUAUUAAUUAUGAAUUCGGCAAAAAUUUAUUUUCAUCUGUUUAUCAAAAACAUUGUAUUAAUUUUUAUUUAAUAUAGAAUCUGCUCAAUGAAUUUUUUUUUAAUAGCUGCAGUAUUUUGACUGUGCAAAGGUAGCAUAAUAAUUAGUCUUUUAAUUGAGGACUAGGAUGAAAGAUUUGAUGAAAAAUAAACUUUAUUAUUAAUAUAUUUAAAAUUUUAUUUUUAAGUAAAAAAGCUUAAAUUUUUUAAAGGGACGAUAAGACCCUAUAAAACUUUAUAAUUAUUAAUUUUUAUUUUUGUUUGUUUAAAUUAAUAUUUAAAUUUAAUUAAUUAUUUUAUUGGGGUGAUAAAAAAAUUUAUUUAACUUUUUUUAAAAUUAAACAUUAUUUAAUGAUUUUUUGAAUUAAAAUUUUUAAUUAAAGGAAAAAGUUACUUUAGGGAUAACAGCGUAAUUAAUUUUUUAAGUUCAUAUUUUAAAAUUAGU